GACGAGGGAUCCUAGCGUUGUUCGGAAUCACUGGGCGUAAAGCGUUUGUAGGCGGCUCUAUAAGUCGGGUGUGAAAUCCCAUGGCUCAACCAUGGAAGUGCAUUCGAAACUGCAGAGCUUGAAUAUGGUAGAGGAGAGUAGAAUUCCUGGUGUAGUGGUGAAAUACGUAGAUAUCAGGAGGAAUACCGGUGGCGAAGGCGGCUCUCUGGACCAAUAUUGACGCUGAGAAACGAAAGUGCGGGGAUCAAACAGG
Molecule: ribosomal RNA, 253 nt
Filed under: uncultured bacterium
Lineage: Bacteria
Also listed under: 1 other name
Description: partial 16S ribosomal RNA
Rfam family: Bacterial small subunit ribosomal RNA
Source: RNAcentral